This 83-nucleotide transfer RNA is filed under the name Bacteroidota bacterium. Its description in RNAcentral is "tRNA-Tyr". It matches the Rfam family "tRNA". From Rfam's summary of the family: Transfer RNA (tRNA) molecules are approximately 80 nucleotides in length. Their secondary structure includes four short double-helical elements and three loops (D, anti-codon, and T loops). Lineage: Bacteria; Pseudomonadati; Bacteroidota. The record is from RNAcentral.
GGGCGGUUACCAGAGUGGCCAAAUGGGGCAGACUGUAAAUCUGUUGGUUUUCACCUUCGGAGGUUCGAAUCCUUCACCGCCCA